UUAAGCUAUAAUUCAAGGACUGCUGAAUCAUUUUCAUGCCCAGUCAAACUUACAGUGAGCUCAGGAGAGAAAAAAGGAAAGUGGGGUACAUUACACCAGGCAUAGAACAGACCAUGAAUGGCUCAAGGUUAAUGCAAUUAGUAAAAAAGACAUGUUAAAAAGGAGAAAUAGAUGGUAUUUUUAAACAGGUCCAAGGGAACCACUAAUCAUAUCCCUUUUACCCCAUUGUACACAGGAUUGAAGCCAAGCUUUGGAUUGUUGAUUUGUGUUGGGAUUUUGGUGGAGCCUACAGAUCUGAUCCGAAGGGCGACGGAAAUUACGUGCAGCACUGAGGAAUGGAGCUGGAAAAUACUUAGAGGCAAAUACUGACUGUAAGAUCUGAGAAAUACCCCUGAAUAGGAUCUGAUUUGAGAGGCAGCCAGUGUUUGUUUUACAUGGGAGCGGUUACUCUAGAGUCAAUAGGAUGUUGCUAAACUUGAACUUCUUGCUCCACUGAGUAUGUUAUCAACAGUCCAAAGAACACACUUUUAAAGGCAGACAUACAGCAAGAUAUUGGCCUGGAUAAACCCUUUCUUCUUCUCUAAGCCUACUUGGAAUCAAUUGGUGGACUUUGAAAAAUCAAAGUUUUUUUUAAAUAAAUUUCGAUUGGUCUUUUUUAUUUCGAAUUUCAAAGCUUUUUAAAUUCGAAAUUUGACCCUUGAUAAAUCUUCCCCUUACUGUGCAGUAUAUUGUGGAUUUUUAUUGGACAUAGCAAUUUUUAAGACCUACAGUACUUGUCUCAAAAUAAUGACAACGUUCUAUGAAAUGCUCUGCAUACUGUCAACUUUAAAAUGUGCACUUGAAAGUUUUUAGAUGGGGGAGCUGCUAAACACCUGUAAAAAAAAGAUAAUGUUGCCUUAUAUCUCUAUGUGUAUUUAGGGCCAAAAAACCCCAUUUGUAAUCAGAAAUUUAUUGGAAUUAUGUAGAUUCCAAUUUUAUAUGCUGGUAAAUCCCUAGAGAACUUAUGCUGUGUAGACAAGCUAUGACAUAGUGUAGGGGACCCAAACCUUUUUUAGCUGUGCCUCAAAAACAUGAGUUCUUAUAAACUGUGUACAAUUCUGUACAAAUAUCCUUAUGUAAACAUUUCUUCUUUAGGACAAAAUAUUUUUAUGUUUUACACAUGUAGAGGACUGAUACACGUAUUCCCCAUUUGUAGUGCUGUUCCAUAAGGUUUGGCCAUAGAAGGGCCCCUUAGUUAUACAGGAGUUAUUCUCUUCUUCCUGGGUAAAAACAUGACCCCUAACUUUCCCAGGUUUGACCACUAGAUGGCAGUGUUCAAUAAUAUAUAAGCUGAGCACACAUGCUCAGGAUUCAUUUUGUCUGAUCCCUUACCUGGGCAGGCAUGAAAAGUUUCCAGUGGCACCUAGACACAGUCAGUUCUAGUAAGUUAUAGGCUACUCACUUGCAUAGAUCACUCUAGGAGUGAUAGACAGUUAGGACUAUUUAUUAAAGCAGAUGAGGCUCCACCAAGGAGCGUUGAGUUGGACUAAGAUCCCAGUUACUAAUUGGCCAGAAGUAGGGACUAAGUGUUGAACCAGGAUUUAGGGAGAUACCCAAGAGUUCCACUUAGGGUAAAGGUUGAAAGCUGGGAGUGCCUCAGUCUACACUGUGUAUUCUCUCUCUCUCUCUUACCCUGCAGGGAUUUAUACUGACCAUUGCUGCUGUAAAUAUGUGCCUAUCUACAAAUGUUAUUUGUUCCUGCUUUGUAUUGAUAAACUCCUUAGUGGAUUGUGUUCUUUAACAAAUAAGUUCUAUGAUUAAGUUAUAAAAACCACUGGUGUCAAAUAAGUGUGUACUGCAUACAAUUGUAGUUACAUAACACCCUGCCUCUGCACGAUGGCGAGGGCUCACCCCCUGAGA
Molecule: long non-coding RNA, 1899 nt
Organism: Xenopus laevis (African clawed frog)
Lineage: Eukaryota; Metazoa; Chordata; Amphibia; Anura; Pipidae
Exons: 3
Source: RefSeq, a predicted model, not a curated record